RNAcentral lists this ribosomal RNA (590 nucleotides) under uncultured bacterium. RNAcentral describes it as "bacterial SSU rRNA". It matches the Rfam family "Bacterial small subunit ribosomal RNA", at positions 338 to 916 of the family's 1533-position model. The record is from RNAcentral.
CCUACGGGAGGCAGCAGUGAGGAAUAUUGCGCAAUGGGCGAAAGCCUGACGCAGCAACGCCGCGUGGAUGAUGAAGCUCUAAGGAGUGUAAAGUCCUGUUAGGAGGGACGAAUGAUGCCGAUGUGAAUAAUAUUGGCAUGUGACGGUACCUCCAGAGAAAGCCCCGGCUAACUCCGUGCCAGCAGCCGCGGUAAUACGGGGGGGGCAAGCGUUGUCCGGAAUCAUUGGGCGUAAAGGGCGCGUAGGUGGAAUGGUAAGUUAGAGGUGAAAACUAUGGGCUUAACUCAUAGCCUGCCUCUAAAACUGCUAUUCUUGAGUAUGGAAGAGGGAAGUGGAAUUCCUGGUGUAGCGGUGAAAUGCGUAGAUAUCAGGAAGAACACCGGUAGCGAAGGCGACUUUCUGGUCCAUAACUGACACUGAGGCGCGAAAGCGUGGGGAGCAAACAGGAUUAGAUACCCUGGUAGUCCACGCUGUAAACGAUGGGCACUAGGUGUUGGUCCCGUUCCAACGGGAUCAGUGCCGCAGCUAACGCAUUAAGUGCCCCGCCUGGGGAGUACGAUCGCAAGGUUGAAACUCAAAGGAAUUGACGG